Brassica napus (rape) is the source of this 1763-nucleotide long non-coding RNA. RefSeq lists it as uncharacterized. The record is from RefSeq and is a predicted model, not a curated record. The transcript is spliced from 2 exons. Lineage: Eukaryota; Viridiplantae; Streptophyta; Magnoliopsida; Brassicales; Brassicaceae.
UAGAGUUAAGGAGGUGGGGUUUAGGGUUUAAAAAUAAAAAAAAAAGUUAAAAUUUUCAAAAUAAAAAAUGUUUUUUGGUCAUUUUAGUUUUUGAGGUCUAUUUUUGUGACAAAAACUUAAAAAAAUGUAUAUUUAAGAGAAUUGCCCUAUAUAUAUAUAUAUUAUUUUUUUUUGUAAACAAUCAUCAAUAUUUUCCUUGAAACUUUUGUCCGUUGUGGUUGGUUAGUUACAUCAUAUUUUAGAUAGCUCCGGGAAAUUGCAACUCAGAAAAUUAACACCAAGUAGAAACAUAUAAGAUACUUCCUGCUGGUCAAGCAUUUUAUGUCUUAUGUAUUGCACAAUAAGACACUUCCUGCUGGCCAAGCACUUUAUGUCUGUUUAUUAGCUUUCAUACCCUCAUUCUUAACCAGACCAAACUAACCUAACCAGACAAUUAAUCAUGAUUACAUUUUUUUUAAUCAAAAUUCAAUUUCUGUCGGAGAAAUCAAAACACGAUAUCUUUCUCAUCAAUUCAAAACGUACAUCCACUUUCACUUUACCAAAUCUCCAACCCUAAUUUCGUAUACCUCUCUACUUCGAGUGCGACAGAGAGAUAUCACACAAAACUGACGAAAUCGAAGGCGCAGAAGAAGUCCAAGGCGUCUCACAAAUCCAAGGUGUCAAUUGCGGCUCUUUCGUUUGAGUCGCUUUUUCUGGUUUUGGAUUUAAUGGAAAAGAUGAGCAGCCAUUCAAGUUGAACUAUUCUUGCAAACUUUCCUUGUGAUAUUCACGAGAGCGGAGGUGAAGAUUUUUUCAUAUGGGCCUGUUCUUCAAAGUCGAUUUGAAGAUCCUGCCAUGUUGCCGUUCCGCCUCGUCUCUGUCAACCACGACCACCAUGAAGAGCCAUCUUUGUCUUCAAGUCGAUUUGAAGAUCCCAUCAUGUUGCCGUUCCGCCUCGUCUCUGUCAACCACGACCACCGUGAAGAGCUAUCUCUGUCUUCUGAGUCUAGACUUUUAUGAGUUUUAUAGAAAAUUGAUGCUUAGGUAGCCAUUAAUUAUCCCAUUUGGAGUGGGUUGAUAAGCCUGAUUUUGUCACUUUCUCAUUGUUUCUUUGAUAGUUAUAUCUGACCAAACACGCUACCACUCCCUUUAUGUAUCUAGUUAUAUAUUUAUGGCUCUUGUAUUCUCCUGUGAAGAUGUUCCUUGUCUGACUUGUGAUUUGAACAGAUUGUGGAGGGGAUGAUCAAGAGAUCAAACAGGAAAUGGAGAAGCAGUUUAUGGACCUUCUAUUAGUUGGAUAUGUCAAUUCUUAACUCGACGAUUAUAGUUUCUUGAUAUUCUAUCAGUUAUCACAUCCACAAAUGGCAACUGCAAACUUUCGUCCACAUCCACAAACGAUAACCAUUUUCAGCAUCCACAAACAUGUAUACACAUAUGUAUAUCAGAGAGACUCGCUUAUAAACAGUAACUCAUAGACAUAUUGUCUUUUGUCAAGGUUCAAAGAUUCAAGGAAUGUGUUCGUUAUUGGAGAUUCGGGUUUGUUUAGUUUCAAAUUGUGUUAAUUAUUGCUUGGUUUAGUUUGGUUAAUUUAGUCAAUUGUGGGUUGCAAUUCGAAGGGUUCAAACUUUUAGUUUGGUAUGUUUGGUCUACUGUCCACAGAUCGAUAUCCACAUCCAUUCAUAUUCACAAUACUAGUCAUUCUAUGUCUAAGACUCAAGUGUGUAUUCAUUCUGUCUAAGAUUCAAGAGUGUAUUUUUUUUUAUUCUCCACGGUUUGUUUGUCCA